This 513-nucleotide ribosomal RNA is filed under the name uncultured bacterium. RNAcentral describes it as "bacterial SSU rRNA". It matches the Rfam family "Bacterial small subunit ribosomal RNA", at positions 33 to 518 of the family's 1533-position model. The record is from RNAcentral.
ACGCUGGCGGCGUGCCUAAUACAUGCAAGUCGAACGGCUUUUCUAUGGAAGCUUGCUUCCGCUGAGAAGAUAGUGGCGAACGGGUGAGUAACAACGUGGGUAACCUGCCCAUAAGAGGGGGAUAACAUCCGGAAACGGGUGCUAAUACCGCAUAGUUUUCUUGAUCGCAUGAUUGAGAAAGGAAAGAUGGCCUUUGUGCUGUCGCUUAUGGAUGGACCCGCGGCGUAUUAGUUAGUUGGUGAGGUAACGGCUCACCAAGACGAUGAUACGUAGCCGACCUGAGAGGGUGAUCGGCCACAUUGGGACUGAGACACGGCCCAAACUCCUACGGGAGGCAGCAGUAGGGAAUCUUCCGCAAUGGACGAAAGUCUGACGGAGCAACGCUGCGUGAGUGAAGAAGGUUUUCGGAAUCGUAAAACUCUGUUGUCAGAGAAGAACAAGUUGGAGAGUAACUGCUCCAGCCUUGACGGUAUCUGACCAGAAAGCCACGGCUAACUACGUGCCAGCAGCAGC